CGAGCCGGGCGGACGGCCGCGUGAAGCUCCCCUCACCAGGGGCUCUUCCCGAGGAACGUCCGGGCUCCACAGGGCAAGGUGGUGGCUAACGGCCACCCGGGGUGACCCGCGGGACAGUGCCACAGAAAACAGACCGCCGGAGGCUUCGGUCUCCGGUAAGGGUGAAACGGUGGUGUAAGAGACCACCAGCGCCUGAGGUGACUCAGGCGGCUAGGUAAACCCCACCUGGAGCAAGGUCAAGAGGGGCCCUGGAGACAGGACCCUGCGCGGACGAUCGAGGGCUGCCCGCCCGAGUCCGCGGGUAGACCGCACGAGGCCCGCAGCAAUGCGGACCCUAGAUGGAUGGCCGUCUCCCCGGCCGCCGCGAGGCGACCGGGCGACAGAACCCGGCGUACAGCCCGACUCGUCUG
RNAcentral lists this RNase P RNA (410 nucleotides) under Streptomyces sp. BA2. RNAcentral describes it as "Bacterial RNase P class A". It matches the Rfam family "Bacterial RNase P class A". From Rfam's summary of the family: Ribonuclease P (RNase P) is a ubiquitous endoribonuclease, found in archaea, bacteria and eukarya as well as chloroplasts and mitochondria. Its best characterised activity is the generation of mature 5'-ends of tRNAs by cleaving the 5'-leader elements of precursor-tRNAs. Cellular RNase Ps are ribonucleoproteins. Lineage: Bacteria; Bacillati; Actinomycetota; Actinomycetes; Kitasatosporales; Streptomycetaceae. The record is from Rfam by way of RNAcentral.